Molecule: ribosomal RNA, 777 nt
Filed under: uncultured Neocallimastigales
Lineage: Eukaryota; Fungi; Neocallimastigomycota; Neocallimastigomycetes; Neocallimastigales
Description: partial large subunit ribosomal RNA
Rfam family: Eukaryotic large subunit ribosomal RNA
Source: RNAcentral
CAUAGCGACUAUCGUGGCAUAUCAAUAAGCGGAGGAAAAGAAACUAACAAGGAUUCCCUUAGUAACGGCGAGUGAAGCGGGAUGAGCUCAAAUUUGAAAUCUUCAAGGUUCUACCUUGACGAAUUGUAGUUUAUAGAAGUGUUUUCUGUUAGUAAGUUGGCUAAAAGUUCUUUGGAAUAGGACAUCAUAGAGGGUGAGAAUCCCGUAUUUGAUCAUUCUUUUCAGCUGUGUGAUACACUUUCAAAGAGUCGGAUUGUUUGGGAAUGCAGUCCAAAAUGGGUGGUAAAUUUCAUCUAAAGCUAAAUAUUGGCGAGAGACCGAUAGCGAACAAGUACCGUGAGGGAAAGAUGAAAAGAACUUUGAAAAGAGAGUUAAACAGUACGUGAAAUUGUCAAAAGGGAAGCGUUUGACACCAGUGUUGUUUUCUCGAAAAUCAAUUACAAAGGGAUUUUGUUUUGAGGAGUUAUGACUUCAUCGCUUGCUCCUUUCUUUAUGUACUUUCUUAAUGCACUUUUCGUUUAACAAGUCAACAUCAGUUUCUUUUGUUGUAAAAGGGUCAUGAGGAAGGUGGCUUUCUUUUCGGAGAAAGUGUUUAUAGCCCUAGUACUUCUAGCAAUCGGAGAGAUUGAGGUCUGCAGCGUAGAUCCUUCGGGGUUAGAUACAUUUGUGCUAAGUUAUAGCUUUUCAUAGACAACUUGUUGACUAUGUUUAGUCUUGUAGCUUACUCGCUUAUGCUAUUUUACCUACGCUUAGGAUGUUGAUAUGCAUGACUGAUAU